GAUGAACGCUGGCGGCGUGCCUAAUACAUGCAAGUCGAGCGAACAGACGAGGAGCUUGCUCCUCUGACGUUAGCGGCGGACGGGUGAGUAACACGUGGAUAACCUACCUAUAAGACUGGGAUAACUUCGGGAAACCGGAGCUAAUACCGGAUAAUAUAUUGAACCGCAUGGUUCAAUAGUGAAAGACGGUUUUGCUGUCACUUAUAGAUGGAUCCGCGCCGCAUUAGCUAGUUGGUAAGGUAACGGCUUACCAAGGCGACGAUGCGUAGCCGACCUGAGAGGGUCAUCGGCCACCCUGGAACUGAGACACGGUCCAGACUCCUACGGGAGGCAGCAGUAGGGAAUCUUCCGCAAUGGGCGAAAGCCUGACGGAGCAACGCCGCGUGAGUGAUGAAGGUCUUCGGAUCGUAAAACUCUGUUAUUAGGGAAGAACAAAUGUGUAAGUAACUAUGCACGUCUUGACGGUACCUAAUCAGAAAGCCACGGCUAACUACGUG
Molecule: ribosomal RNA, 497 nt
Filed under: uncultured bacterium
Lineage: Bacteria
Description: partial 16S ribosomal RNA
Rfam family: Bacterial small subunit ribosomal RNA
Source: RNAcentral